This 425-nucleotide ribosomal RNA is filed under the name uncultured bacterium. RNAcentral's name for it is "bacterial SSU rRNA". It matches the Rfam family "Bacterial small subunit ribosomal RNA", at positions 356 to 773 of the family's 1533-position model. The record is from RNAcentral.
GGGGAAUAUUGCACAAUGGGCGCAAGCCUGAUGCAGCUAUGCCGCGUGUAUGAAGAAGGCCUUCGGGUUGUAAAGUACUUUCAGCGGGGAGGAAGGCGAUAAGGUUAAUAACCUUGUCGAUUGACGUUACCCGCAGAAGAAGCACCGGCUAACUCCGUGCCAGCAGCCGCGGUAAUACGGAGGGUGCAAGCGUUAAUCGGAAUUACUGGGCGUAAAGCGCACGCAGGCGGUCUGUCAAGUCGGAUGUGAAAUCCCCGGGCUCAACCUGGGAACUGCAUUCGAAACUGGCAGGCCAGAGUCUUGUAGAGGGGGGUAGAAUUCCAGGUGUAGCGGUGAAAUGCGUAGAGAUCUGGAGGAAUACCGGUGGCGAAGGCGGCCCCCUGGACAAAGACUGACGCUCAGGUGCGAAAGCGUGGGGAGCAAAC